Gadus chalcogrammus (walleye pollock) is the source of this 1906-nucleotide RNA transcript. It is a transcript of the gene named protein asteroid homolog 1-like, with no coding region annotated. NCBI's taxonomy places the organism in Eukaryota, Metazoa, Chordata, Actinopteri, Gadiformes, Gadidae. The transcript has 4 exons. The record is from RefSeq and is a predicted model, not a curated record.
GUAUCCUCUCUGGGUGAGUCCUGUAACCAUAGAAGUUAGAGCGUAUCCAGUCACCCUUGACAUUGGAAGUGAGAGCUUGAUCCAGUCACUAUGGGGAUACAGGGCUUGUGGUCGCUGCUGGAGGACCGGAGCCACAUCUACCAGGACAUUCGCUUCAGGGACAGCAAGCUGCUGGUGGACGGCACUAACCUGGCCUUCUACCUGUACGACAGGUCCAACCUGGACCAGAACCGUGGCGGGGAGUACCUGGCCUAUCAGGUCCAGGUCCAGGCUCUCUUCACGGCUCUAGGUGACUGUGGAAUCAAACCGUACGUGGUGAUGGACGGAGGCACGGGCGCCAGUGACAUCAGACUUAACAUCAGAGAGGACCGUCAAAGACGCCUUCUCCGGAUUGCCCAGGGCGCCGCUCUGAAGGGCAGGAGGGCGGGCAUCCUCCCCCCCUUUACCACGACAGUGUUCGAACAGACGCUGAACGACAUGAAGGUGCCGCUGGUCAGGUGCUUCGGAGAGGCCGACGGCCAGCUGGCUGCUCUGGCCAGAGAGUGGAGCUGCCCGGUGCUGUCCGGAGACACUGACUUCUACAUCUACGACCUUCCAGAGGGGGUUCUGCCACUCAAACACUUCCUGUGGGACUCAUGGGAGACGAGACAGAACAGUAGUUACAUCCCCUGCAAGCGAUACACCACGGCCAGCUUCUGCACCUUCUUCAACAUCGACCCCCAGCUCCUGCCCUUCUUCGCCUCACUAGCCGGGAACGACCACGACUGCCUCAGAAAAAUUCCCUGGGCCCGAUUCCUUCCAGCGGACUGCCCCAGGAAAAGGAUAAAGGUCCCCCGCCUGGAGGGCCUCCUGAGUUGGCUGGGAGCCAGGACAGACCAGACGGCAGAAGACAUCUUGACAGCAGCGAUGGAUAUACCCCACCUGAGUCAACAGGUCGAGACGGAGGUGCAGACGGAGGUGCAGACGGAGGUGCAGAAGGAGGUGCAGACGGCCAUGCUGGAGUACCGGCUCCCCAGCUCCUCUCUGCGGGGGUUCUUCAGUGAGGGGACCGCACCGUCGCUGCCCGCUGAGAUGUUGAGCUGGGCCCCUGAGUGGGUCCGUGCGUGCCUGGCCAGAGGAGACCUGGGAGCUGACGUAUUUGUGCACAGGCGGAAGAUUCUCCGCAUCCAGGUGGAGCACUUCGAUCUACAGAGCUCCAACCUCACCUCGCGGCCUCUCAGACAGGUGUUGUACGGGCUGCUGCUGGGCCAAGGGGGGGGUGAGGUGCUGGAGGUGGACCGGGUCGGUCUGGAGCUCGUCAGUGUCAAGGUGCGACCGCUGGUCCAAGGAACCGCUCAGACACUGAGGCUGGACUCUCUGCCCCAGGCAGACCCCGCUGUGAGGCUGCGGGUGUGUCUGGAGACGCUGGGCGUGGAGAGAGACGCUGGAGGGAGUUCCGGCUCACCUGCGCCUCCCAGUGGCUGUGACCUGCUACUGGUGGAGGAGGGCCAGCCCUGAACUGACGCUCCUCAAAGCUCUGCUGAUAGUCAUGGUCCAAGGAGAACUGAACCGACAGACAGGAGGGACAACAGGCUGGCAGGGAUAUACCAACCACCACUCUCAGCCUCUGGACGGUGUCAUGACUCACAGCCUCAACCAAUGGCAGGCCUGCCUGAAGGACGCCUCCCAGCUCAACCUGGUGCUCUGCAUGCCUAUCCCUGAACCCCACUACGCCUGGUUGUACCAGGGCAGGCUGGUGCACCAGCGGCAGAAGCAGCUCCAGGAGAGGGAGCCAGAGGUGGAAAAUGCCAACUUCGUCAGUCUGUACAGGAGGCUCCUGGGAGCAGUGCUCCGGCCAGACCCAGGGGCCAACAGGAUGGCUGGGGGGCCUGAGGCCCAGCUGAGGGCCAGCAUGGAGCACCUUCAC